UGCGCGCACCGCUGGAGGGUGCAUUGACACCGCCCUGGUCGCCUAGCCUAGGAGAACGCCGUCCCGGGGACACCUGCCGUGAGGUCCUACCAGAAAGCAAAUCAGGAAAUUCCAUCCAAACACAGGAAAGAAGCAGGCCCGGGGGCUUGGAGAUGAUAAAUGGUGGUUCUCAAAGUGUGUUCCCCAGACCAACAACGUCAACAACACCAAGGAGCUUCCUGGAAAUGCAAGUUCUUGGAUCCCACCUAGACCUACUACACCAGAAACUCUGAGGGCCAGCAAUCAGUUUUUAACAAGAUUACCAGGUGAUUCUGAUACAUACUGAAAUUUGAGACCCACUGGUCUAGAAGAACAUGACCCCUGGAGGGAAGACAGACAGGUGGAAAUCAUAAUUCGUUGUGAAAUGGUGGAAUUUGGGAAGAGUUAAUUGCCAUUAAAACACUCACUGUCAUCAGGUUUUCAAAUGUUUCAGGCUUACAGAUUUGUUGCUUCAGUUAAUUAUAACAAAGACCUACACUGGCCAGAGAGGUUAUAGAAAUGAAAGAAGGGACCAUUAUUUAAAAAAAAAAAAAAGCAAACAAGAAACAUGAACUUCUCGGGUUUCCUUUUAUUUUUACAGUUUUGAUGAAAAGUGACUGCAGACAUAUUACUUGACUGUAAAAACAACAUCCAUGCAAAAGUGACCAUAUGGACCAACUAGCAUUCAGUCUCUAGGCAGAGCAGCCAUAAGGAGUGGUGAGGGCUGCAGUCAGCUCAGGAGUAUGUGCUGGAUCUAAAGGUGGUAGCAGCUACUUAGAUCUAGCUAUGCAGAAAUGUGGGUGCAGAUCUUUCGAUUUCAAAGAUGAGGAGAUACAUCUAGAUCAAUAUUUG
Molecule: long non-coding RNA, 870 nt
Filed under: Homo sapiens (human)
Lineage: Eukaryota; Metazoa; Chordata; Mammalia; Primates; Hominidae
Description: HSALNT0040079
Source: RNAcentral